Molecule: non-coding RNA, 87 nt
Filed under: unclassified sequences
Description: skipping-rope RNA
Rfam family: skipping-rope RNA
About the family: Firmicutes, Fusobacteria, AlphaProteobacteria, Spirochaetes.
Source: Rfam by way of RNAcentral
GCCGCCAGAGGUCGAAAGGGGACGACGCACCGAAAGCUAAUGCUUUCGGUCACGAGAAAUGUGGGUUUCCUCGCCCCACCUGGCGGU